GGCUGUCGUCAGCUCGUGUUGUGAAAUGUUGGGUUAAGUCCCGCAACGAGCGCAACCCUUAUCCUUUGUUGCCAGCGGUCCGGCCGGGAACUCAAAGGAGACUGCCAGUGAUAAACUGGAGGAAGGUGGGGAUGACGUCAAGUCAUCAUGGCCCUUACGACCAGGGCUACACACGUGCUACAAUGGCGCAUACAAAGAGAAGCGACCUCGCGAGAGCAAGCGGACCUCAUAAAGUGCGUCGUAGUCCGGAUUGGAGUCUGCAACUCGACUCCAUGAAGUCGGAAUCGCUAGUAAUCGUGGAUCAGAAUGCCACGGUGAAUACGUUCCCGGGCCUUGUACACACCGCCCGUCACACCAUGGGAGUGGGUUGCAAAAGAAGUAGGUAGCUUAACCUUCGGGAGGGCGCUUACCACUUUGUGAUUCAUGACUGGGGUGAAGUCGUAACAAGGUAACCGUAGGGGAACCUGCGGCUGGAUCACCUC
Molecule: ribosomal RNA, 482 nt
Filed under: uncultured bacterium
Lineage: Bacteria
Description: bacterial SSU rRNA
Rfam family: Bacterial small subunit ribosomal RNA
Source: RNAcentral